RNAcentral lists this ribosomal RNA (253 nucleotides) under uncultured bacterium. Its description in RNAcentral is "partial 16S ribosomal RNA". It matches the Rfam family "Bacterial small subunit ribosomal RNA", at positions 524 to 776 of the family's 1533-position model. The record is from RNAcentral.
UACGUAGGUGGCGAGCGUUGUCCGGAUUUACUGGGCGUAAAGGGAGCGUAGGCGGACUUUUAAGUGAGAUGUGAAAUACUCGGGCUCAACUUGAGUGCUGCAUUUCAAACUGGAAGUCUAGAGUGCAGGAGAGGAGAAUGGAAUUCCUAGUGUAGCGGUGAAAUGCGUAGAGAUUAGGAAGAACACCAGUGGCGAAGGCGAUUCUCUGGACCGUGACUGACGUUGAGGCUCGAGAGCGUGGGGAGCAAACAGG